GGCCUUUUCAAAUCUUGCUCGGCAUCUGAUAUCAUAAAAUAUGUUACUUACAGACUAGAAGAAGAUAGUGCCAUACUUUGUCAACAACGGCAAAAGUCAGAAAGAUUGAAUAUUCAGUUUGUUUAUGUGUAUGAUUGUGAUAGAUUAACUUUUCAAGCAGUUACCAACAAAACUAAUAUUCAAAUAUGUUUGCAAAGUGCAGGCACUUUUCAAGAUAAUUUCCCAGAAUUUGUGAAAGCAAUUUACGUAAUCAACG
Non-coding RNA from Parasteatoda tepidariorum (common house spider), 256 nucleotides. Lineage: Eukaryota; Metazoa; Arthropoda; Arachnida; Araneae; Theridiidae. The record is from RefSeq and is a predicted model, not a curated record.